This 254-nucleotide ribosomal RNA is filed under the name uncultured bacterium. RNAcentral's name for it is "partial 16S ribosomal RNA". It matches the Rfam family "Bacterial small subunit ribosomal RNA", at positions 524 to 776 of the family's 1533-position model. The record is from RNAcentral.
GACGAACCGUGCGACCGUUAUUCGGAAUCACUGGGCUUAAAGCGCGUGUAGGCGGGACGGCACGUCGGUCGCUGAAAUCCCCCGGCUCAACCGGGGAACGGGCGCCGAUACGACCGUCCUGGAGGGACGUAGGGGGACCUGGAACUUCCGGUGGAGCGGUGAAAUGCGUUGAGAUCGGAAGGAACGCCCGUGGCGAAAGCGAGGUCCUGGACGUUUUCUGACGCUGAGACGCGAAAGCCAGGGGAGCGAACGGG